CCUCCCUUCGUAUGACUUGGAGGUAAUGGCGGUGGGGUGGGCAAACGUGCUCACCAGGGUAUCAGUGCUCUGGAAACUGCACCUCUCCCUUGGGCAAUUCCAUUACUCAAAAAGUGCACAGAGAAAUGCCACCAGUGUCCCCAACCCUAUUCCUCUUCAGCUCAGUGGAACGAUCGAUCUAGAUUCCUGAAUGUUUCCUGUCAACUUGAGUGAGUAAGCACUCCAGGUUUGGUGAGGAUGAGGCCGAGGAGGGGAGAAACUGCCUCUUUAGGUUUCCUGUUGGCUAGCCACAAACUUCACAGGCCUCCUGAUUGGAGGAUGAAGUCACUGAUGUAGCGUGAGCUCAUGAUAGGACCAUUGCCUAUCUUAUUCUGAGUGGCCCAGUAUUUUUAGACUUUGAGCAUUUGGCAUUGAAAGAAAUGUGUGUCAUUGCACAAUGAAUGCUCUCCCUGACACAUGUUCAGCAACAGAAGGAAGCCUGUCGCUCAGCAUCUGCCCACAUCUCCAGCUCUGGAGCCUGGAAAAUUUUAUGGUGGUAAUAACUCUGGAUGCUGUUUUAGGAUCACAUCUGAGGAGGAGAGAUUGGAAGGUACCUGCAUCCAGGUAUUUUCAUGGAACUUUCAGAAUAAAAAGAAUUUUCUUCUGGACUUUUUUUUCCCCCUGUAAAAAUUAAACUUGACACAGGGUCUCACGGAGUUGCUUGGUGCCUCGCCAUUGCUGAGACUGGCUUUGAACUCGCGAUCCUCCAGCCUCAGCCUCCACAGCUGCUGGAAUUAUAGUCAUGGGCCACUGCCCCUGGCUCUGGCAGGGAUUGAACCCAGGACGGUCACCGUUGCAGGAAGCCAGCUAGACAAGCAGCAACAAGUGGCACUCGGAAAGACUGAGAACUCAUGCUUCAUUUUACUCCAGCCGGCACAGAGGGGAACAAACUCUAAAUUCUGAGCGCUGGCCCAUAGUUUCUCAUAACAUUUAUAGGCAAUUUUGUGCCAUAAAAUUUCUAGUCUACAUGACAGGAGGCCUUGUGUGGGGUUUCUAGUGGGAAGUGUGUUUACAGAAGCAAAAAAGCGAUAAGAGGAACUGGCUCUUUGCACAGGCAUAAAUAAAUCUUUGGCCUUGUGUCUGAAGCCUGGUCCAGGGGUGUUUACGUUUCAAAAGAGAGUAGUCAGAUUCCUAGAGACAGUUAUUUACAAUCCAAAUGGUAGGGACCUAUGGUUAAUUAGGUUUCCUGAAGAAAGGCUGACAGAAGGGUGGUGGUGGUGGUGGAGGGAACUCUGACCCUUUCCCAGGCUUUCUUUCUCAUGAUAACAUUCUUGUGAUUUCAUUUUACAACCAGGUCUGGUUUUGCUAUCUCAUAACCACUGAGCUACAUCCCCAGCCCUUUUUAUUUUAUUUUGAGACAGACUCUUCCUAAAUUCCCUAGGGCCUCACUAAAUUUUUUGAGGCUUGUUUUGAGCUUGCAAUCCUCCUGCCUCAGCCUCCUGAACCACUGGAAUUCAGGCAUGUGCUACCAAGUCCAGCUAUGAGACCCUGUUUCAAAAUAAAAAAAUAAAGGGCUGGGGAUGUAGCUCAGUUGUAUAGCAUGCCUGGGCUCAAUCCCAAAUGAUGUAAGAAACAGUGAAAAAUCAGACCCACAAGCUUAUGUUAGAAUAACAAAUAUUUGGGUUUAGAGUUUUGGAGUCACUAGUGGUUUACCUGGUAACUACAAACAACAACAGCAAAAUAAUAUAAUUAGUAAAGAAAAAUUUAAAAACCUGGGCUGGAGAUAUAGCUCGGUUGGUAGAGUGCUUUCCCCAAUGCACAAGGCCCUGGGUUCAAAAAAAAAAAGUGCUCGACUUUUUCCUCUUUCUUUCCCAAACUCAGCCUUAGACAUUAGUACUGGCUCUUCUAGUAAAUAAUGUGAAAGUUUAAACAUCUUAAUUGGCUUUAUUCAGUAUUCUAGUAUUUACCAACACUUCAUUCCUCAAAGCAAGAUGAGAUGAGCUGGGUUGAACAAAGCAGAAAUUCAGAACAAAAAGUAUAUUGGAGGUGCUGAGGUUGUGGCUCAGCGGUAGAGUGCUUGCCUAGCAUGUGUGAGGCCCUGGGCUUGAUCCUUAGCACCACAUAAAAUAAACGAAAGUUUAAAUAAAAUAAAACUAAAAAUUAAAUCGGUCAUUUCAAAGUUAUUUUCCUUGUAACAUUGGGAUAGGGAGAGAGAACAAUAGAAGAGUAACUGGUUAAUAUUGGGUUAGUUCAGGUUACUUUUUUGGAAAGGAUUACAACGGAGGGAAUUUUUACUGGAGGGAAUUUUUACUGACGUGCAAAUAAAAACUGGUCUGUUUGUAAAAUUUAGCUUUUAUCUGUCUCCUGAUUUCUCAGAGGGCCAGGUAACAACUAAGUUUAGGUUUGAUGAGGUGGAACCUCAGCCUGAGUGGCUCCCUUCUGAUUUUUAGUCUAGUCUGAUUUUUAGCCUAGUAUACAGCUCAGUUCAAAACAGUGGCCUCUGGUAAUUUUUAUUUAACAAAUCAAUAUUGUAGAGAUUUCUCUUUUAUACAAUAUAACUGACCUCAAUUUAUUAACAUAACCACUGAG
This is a long non-coding RNA of Marmota monax (woodchuck), 2568 nucleotides long. RefSeq lists it as uncharacterized. The record is from RefSeq and is a predicted model, not a curated record. The transcript is spliced from 4 exons. Lineage: Eukaryota; Metazoa; Chordata; Mammalia; Rodentia; Sciuridae.